AUGAUCAAAAAUGCCCAGAAAAAUAAGCUGAUCACGGGAUUAGCUUCUGACCUGAUUCAGGAUGGGGUCGCAGUGUUGCAGUAUGCGGACGAUACUAUCAUCUGUUUAGAACAUGAUAUAGAGAAAGCGGUUAACCUGAAGUUGCUGCUUUAUAUCUUUGAAAUGAUGUCCGGACUCAAAGUGAAUUUUCGAAAAAGUGAGAUCCUCACGGUGGACGGGGAUGACAGUGUUCUCAGAGAAUAUGCUGAAUUAUUUAACUGUGAUAUUGGGAGUUUUCCUAUCAAGUACUUAGGGAUGCCUGUGAGCUACACCAAUCUUCGCAAUUCUGAUUGGGAAUCCAUUGUGGUUAAGUAUCUUAAGAGAUUCGAAGUCUGGAUUGGCAAUGCCGCAUCCAUGGGGGGCAGACUUGCUCUGCUUGACUCAGUGCUUACUCAACUAUCCAUCUUUCACAUGUCUAUGUGGCUCAUGAAUAAAACAUUCAUUAAAAAGUUGGAUAAACAUAGACGUAGAUUUUUCUGGCAAGGUUGUAAUAAGAAGAGGAGAUAUCAUCUUGUCAAGUGGAAUAGGAUCUGUAGAUCCAGAGACAAAGGAGGCCUGGGGGUUAAAGACCUUAGAAAACAAAAUAUUGGUUUAAUGGUCAAAUGGUGGUGGAAGUUGGAGACCCAAAAUGGGUUGUGGCAGGAUAUUGUACGUGCUAGAUACCUUAGAAACAAAACUGUUACUGAGGUUUGUGCCAAGUUUUCUGAUUCACCAUGCUGGAAAGGUCUUUUGAAGGUGAAAGAGGUAUAUAUAUAUAUGAUGGGGAGGAAAAUUAACAUAGAAUCUAGGAAUAUUGCUCGGGUGUGGAUGGAUCCCAUCAAUGGGCUGCCCCCCUUUCGGGAAUAG
RNAcentral lists this ribosomal RNA (885 nucleotides) under Triticum aestivum (bread wheat). RNAcentral's name for it is "partial small subunit ribosomal RNA". The record is from RNAcentral. Lineage: Eukaryota; Viridiplantae; Streptophyta; Magnoliopsida; Poales; Poaceae.